UACAUGGGGUGCAAACGUUGCUCGGAAUUAUUGGGCGUAAAGCGCGCGUAGGCGGUUACUCAAGUCGGAUGUGAAAGCCCUCGGCUUAACUGAGGAAGUGCACCCGAAACUGAGUAGCUAGAGUACUAAAGAGGGCCGCGGAAUUCCCGGUGUAGAGGUGAAAUUCGUAGAUAUCGGGAGGAACACCGGUGGCGAAGGCGGGUCUCUGGGCCGAUACUGACGCUGAGGAGCGAAAGCGUGGGGAGCGAACAGG
RNAcentral lists this ribosomal RNA (253 nucleotides) under uncultured bacterium. Its description in RNAcentral is "partial 16S ribosomal RNA". It matches the Rfam family "Bacterial small subunit ribosomal RNA", at positions 524 to 776 of the family's 1533-position model. The record is from RNAcentral.